GCCCGAGUGGUGGAAUUGGUAGACGCGGGGGACUCAAAAUCCCCUGCCGCGAGGCGUGCCGGUUCAAGUCCGGCCUCGGGCACCA
This 85-nucleotide transfer RNA is filed under the name Oligella ureolytica. Its description in RNAcentral is "tRNA-Leu". It matches the Rfam family "tRNA". From Rfam's summary of the family: Transfer RNA (tRNA) molecules are approximately 80 nucleotides in length. Their secondary structure includes four short double-helical elements and three loops (D, anti-codon, and T loops). Further hydrogen bonds mediate the characteristic L-shaped molecular structure. tRNAs have two regions of fundamental functional importance: the anti-codon, which is responsible for specific mRNA codon recognition, and the 3' end, to which the tRNAs corresponding amino acid is attached (by aminoacyl-tRNA synthetases). tRNAs cope with the degeneracy of the genetic code in two manners: having more than one tRNA (with a specific anti-codon) for a particular amino acid; and 'wobble' base-pairing, i.e. permitting non-standard base-pairing at the 3rd anti-codon position. The record is from RNAcentral. Lineage: Bacteria; Pseudomonadati; Pseudomonadota; Betaproteobacteria; Burkholderiales; Alcaligenaceae.